AGCCUAAGGAAAUAAUAUUUUAGGUAAGCUCUGCCCAGUGAAUUUUUAACGGCCGCGGUAUCCUGACCGUGCAAAGGUAGCACAAUCACUUGCCCUUUAAUUAGGGGCUGGAAUGAAUGAGUAAACGAGAAUUAUUCUGUCUCUCAAGUAUUUAUAAAAACUAGCCUACAGGUGAAGAGACCUGUAUUUUUCUAAAAGACAAAAAGACCCCGUCGAGCUUUAAUAUAUAAAAAAUAAAAAAUUUUAUCUUUUUUAAAUAUUUUUGUUGGGGCGACAAAGGAAUAAAAAAAUCUUCCUAAAAAAAAAGAAAUCAAUUCAAAUAAAUGAUCCUACAAAUGAACAUCGAUAUAGCUACCGCAGGGAUAACAGACUUAUUUUUUCAAAGAGUUCAAAUCAAAGAAAAAGUUUGGCACCUCGAUGUUGGCUUAGGAAUUCUUUUUAGGCGCAAAAGCUAAAAAAGAGGGUGUGUUCACCCCUUAAUAU
This 483-nucleotide ribosomal RNA is filed under the name Nothria sp. di LMG-2023. Its description in RNAcentral is "partial 16S ribosomal RNA". It matches the Rfam family "Bacterial large subunit ribosomal RNA", at positions 1828 to 2594 of the family's 2925-position model. Lineage: Eukaryota; Metazoa; Annelida; Polychaeta; Eunicida; Onuphidae. The record is from RNAcentral.